CCUACGGGAGGCAGCAGUGGGGGAUAUUGCACAAUGGGGGAAACCCUGAUGCAGCAACGCCGCGUGUGGGAAGGAGGUUUUCGGAUCGUAAACCACUGUUCUUGGUGAAGAUAAUGACGGUAACUAAGGAGACAGCUCCGGCUAAAUACGUGCCAGCAGCCGCGGUAAUACGUAGGGAGCAAGCGUUGUCCGGAUUUACUGGGGGUAAAGGGUGCGGAGGCGGUUUUGCAAGUCAGACGUGAAAACCACAGGCUCAACCUGGGGACGGCGUUUGCAACUGUGGGGCUUGAGUGCAGUAGAGGUAGGCGGAAUUCCCGGUGUAGCGGUGAAAUGCGUAGAGAUCGGGAGGAACACCAGUGGCGAAGGCGGCCUACUGGGCUGUAACUGACGCUGAGGCACGAAAGCAUGGGUAGCAAACAGGAUUAGAUACCCCUGUAGUC
RNAcentral lists this ribosomal RNA (440 nucleotides) under uncultured bacterium. RNAcentral describes it as "partial 16S ribosomal RNA". It matches the Rfam family "Bacterial small subunit ribosomal RNA", at positions 338 to 795 of the family's 1533-position model. The record is from RNAcentral.